UAGAGGAAGUAAAAGUCGUAACAAGGUCUCCGUUGGUGAACCAGCGGAGGGAUCAUUACUGAGUUUACGCUCUAUAACCCUUUGUGAACAUACCUAUAACUGUUGCUUCGGCGGGUAGGGUCUCCGCGACCCUCCCGGCCUCCCGCCUCCGGGCGGGUCGGCGCCCGCCGGAGGAUAACCAAACUCUGAUUUAACGACGUUUCUUCUGAGUGGUACAAGCAAAUAAUCAAAACUUUUAACAACGGAUCUCUUGGUUCUGGCAUCGAUGAAGAACGCAGCGAAAUGCGAUAAGUAAUGUGAAUUGCAGAAUUCAGUGAAUCAUCGAAUCUUUGAACGCACAUUGCGCCCGCCAGCAUUCUGGCGGGCAUGCCUGUUCGAGCGUCAUUUCAACCCUCAAGCUCUGCUUGGUGUUGGGGCCCUACAGCUGAUGUAGGCCCUCAAAGGUAGUGGCGGACCCUCCCGGAGCCUCCUUUGCGUAGUAACUUUACGUCUCGCACUGGGAUCCGGAGGGACUCUUGCCGUAAAACCCCCCAAUUUUCCAAAGGUUGACCUCGGAUCAGGUAGGAAUACCCGCUGAACUUAAGCAUAUCAA
RNAcentral lists this ribosomal RNA (592 nucleotides) under Colletotrichum gloeosporioides. RNAcentral's name for it is "eukaryotic LSU rRNA". The stretch from base 231 to 384 matches the Rfam family "5.8S ribosomal RNA". The record is from RNAcentral. Lineage: Eukaryota; Fungi; Ascomycota; Sordariomycetes; Glomerellales; Glomerellaceae.